This 673-nucleotide long non-coding RNA is filed under the name Mus musculus (house mouse). RNAcentral describes it as "elncRNA-EC10". The record is from RNAcentral. Lineage: Eukaryota; Metazoa; Chordata; Mammalia; Rodentia; Muridae.
GACCAGACAUAAAUGGUGUGUUUUCCUGUCUAACAGUGAUCUCCUGAUGUCCUGGAACUGGCAACAGAAAAUUACAUCAAAUGCCAAGGAAACAGCAUGAAGUAAGCAUGACAAGUUCACUUGGAGCAUCGCAACACUGAUCAUCAUAAUGGUUCGUUUUUCUAAUCUCCAGAAAUGAACCGCCUUUGUUUAUUAUUUGAGUGUAUGUAUGCAUGCUCAUGCAUGAACAUGUACAGAUGUGCAAGGGCCGCCAUCCAUGUGGAGGUCAGAGGACAACUCAUGGGAGUCAGUUCUGUCUACCAUUUGGGUUCGGAGAAUUGGCAGCAAGAACCUUUAACCACUGAGUCAUCUUGUCAGUCCAUCGCUUGGGUUAGGUUCACAUUUGCAUCUUAUGGUUUCUCGGCUCUCUGGUCUGUAUUCUUGCCAGCUUGAAACAGACUUGUAAAAUGUUAGCGAUGAUAACCAUCCUUGAAGUAAUGUUAAUGAGCAAAAGGCAAUUUGGCUACUCCCAUCAUCCUGAAUCUGACUCAGCUCAUUUUUCCCCUGAAUCUGACUCAGCUCAUUUCCCCCUCUGUAUUGAAACAGGAGAGUUCUCAACAAUUGAACCAGAAACAUAGGAAAUGAAUGAAAAUGCACCAGAUAUGAUAUUGAUUUUACAGCAUCAACAAGAGUC